UACGGAGGGUGCGAGCGUUGUCCGGAAUCACUGGGCGUAAAGGGCGCGUAGGCGGUGCGGUACGGUUUCGGUGAAAUCCCUCGGCCCAACCGAGGAACAGCCGGGGCUACGGCCGCGCUCGACGGCAUCAGGGGACAGUGGAACUCCCGGUGGAGCGGUGAAAUGCGUAGAUAUCGGGAGGAACGCCGGUGGCGAAAGCGACUGUCUGGGGUGCCUGUGACGCUGAGGCGCGAAAGCCAGGGGAUCAAACGGG
This 253-nucleotide ribosomal RNA is filed under the name uncultured bacterium. RNAcentral's name for it is "partial 16S ribosomal RNA". It matches the Rfam family "Bacterial small subunit ribosomal RNA", at positions 524 to 776 of the family's 1533-position model. The record is from RNAcentral.